AACGAACGCUGGCGGCAGGCCUAACACAUGCAAGUCGAGCGGACACUUCGGGAUUAGCGGCGGACGGGGGAGUAACGCGUGGGAAUAUGCCCUUCUCUACGGAAUAGUCCUGGGAAACUGGUGGUAAUACCGUAUACGCCCUUUUGGGGGAAGAUUUAUCGAGGAAGGAUUAGCACGAGUUGGAUUAGGUAGUUGGUGGGGUAAUAGCCUACCAAGCCGCCGAUCCAUAGCUGGUUAGAGAGGAUGAUCAGCCACACUUGGACUCAGACACGGCCCAGAAUCCUACGGGAUGCAGGAGUGCGGAAUCUUGGAAAACCGGGGGAACGAUGAUCGAGCCAGGAUGGGUGAGCGAUGAAGGCCGGAGGGAUGUAAAGCGCUUUCAGCUGUGAAGAUAAUGACGGUACCAGCAGAAGAAGCCCCGGCUAACUACGUG
This 433-nucleotide ribosomal RNA is filed under the name uncultured bacterium. RNAcentral's name for it is "partial 16S ribosomal RNA". It matches the Rfam family "Bacterial small subunit ribosomal RNA", at positions 29 to 507 of the family's 1533-position model. The record is from RNAcentral.